UACGUAGGUGGCAAGCGUUGUCCGGAUUUACUGGGCGUAAAGAGCGCGCAGGCAGUCGUUCAAGUCGCGUGUGAAAGCCCCCGGCUCAACUGGGGGGGGUCACGCGAUACUGAUCGACUCGAAGGCAGGAGAGGGUAGUGGAAUUCCCGGUGUAGUGGUGAAAUGCGUAGAUAUCGGGAGGAACACCAGUGGCGAAGGCGACUACCUGGCCUGUUCUUGACGCUGAGGCGCGAAAGCUAGGGGAGCAAACGGG
Molecule: ribosomal RNA, 253 nt
Filed under: uncultured bacterium
Lineage: Bacteria
Description: partial 16S ribosomal RNA
Rfam family: Bacterial small subunit ribosomal RNA
Source: RNAcentral